Molecule: unclassified non-coding RNA, 333 nt
Filed under: uncultured Mucorales
Lineage: Eukaryota; Fungi; Mucoromycota; Mucoromycetes; Mucorales
Description: sequence contains ITS1
Rfam family: 5.8S ribosomal RNA (bases 1-104)
Source: RNAcentral
AAAUUGCGAUAACUAGUGUGAAUUGCAAAUUCAGUGAAUCAUCGAGUCUUUGAACGCAUCUUGCGCUCAUUGGUAUUCCAGUGAGCACGCCUGUUUCAGUAUCAAAAACAACCCUCAUUCAAAAGUUUUUUCUUAUGAAUGGUUAUGAAGGAAGCUUUAGCCCUUGGGCUUGGCAACCUUUUAAAUUGAGUAAGGCCUGAAUCUGUUUCAUCUAGCCUGAACUUUUUUUUAAUAUAAAGGAAAGCUCUUGCGACUUGAACUUUGUUGGGGCCUCCCAAAUAAAACUUUUUUCAUCUUGAUCUGAAAUCAGGUGGGACUACCCGCUGAACUUAA